CGACCACGGCCCGCACCUUAAAGAACUUCUCCACUGCGGUGUCCUGUUCAGAAAAAGAUUACGACGAGCGAGCGAUACAGUGUGAGAUAGGCACACUUGGCGCGGUACCAUAUCCCAGGCGCGGCACGCACACGAUCAACUACUUUUAACUGAGUAUGUGCACUACUGACGGCUUACCGCGUACAGGCAUUCCCAGCUGUGGUUGCUGCCGGUCCACCGCAGCCUCAGCAGCUUGCAGUUCAGCCGGAUGUGCGGCAGCAGGUCAAAGUGCCACGCGUACGCCCGCACGUAGUCCCGGACCUGUUCUGCUGAGGGGUACUCGUCCUCCGGCUGCAGCUCCAGGGGCCACAGGAACUCAGGAAACUGGUAUUGCCGCCAGGGUGCUGCGGGUUCACGUGUAUGCGCGUGGCGAGGCAAUCGUAUUAGGCCGUGGCGUACGGGCCGCGUUGCACCGUGUUUGUACAACCAUUCGCCCCGUCACGCCACGAAAGAACGCCAGCUACGGAAACCACCUCUACCCAUGUUCCUCACUUUGUAACUUGCACCCGUAGUGGUUCUGUGAGGUUGGUGGGCGUGGGAGCACGGCGGUCGAUUGGAUGACAGGGCGCACAUGUGAAAUGCAAAUGCAUCGGUCACGCAAAACCCGGGACUUCUUACCUGCGACCACACGCCGGCGAUAUCGUUGUGUGCUUCCAGAACCAUAACCUGUUGCAAAGAAAUUGUGAUCGAGCCUUCAGUUUGCUGACCGAAAGACCGACGGGAUGAGCAGGCACGUUUUACCUCCAGGCCGAUUUUUAAAAGCUGCCGCGCUGUUUGUAAUCCGGCCACUCCCGCUCCAACUACAAGCACUCGCUGAAUCGCCGGCGAGCAAGGAGCCGACACCGGACUGUGCCCGAGACCAUACGGGGGGGUUUGCCCCAUUUGAUAGCCAGCCGACAUUCUACCGCGUUAGCAGCUGGAAUCGUGCAUUUGGAACUACGAUGGCCGCUGCUCCCAGGACCUAAAAAAGCGCCCAGCCGCGGAAACAGCCGGGUGCUGCGGGCGACCAGCAAAAGGAUAACGGUCGUGUGUCUGAAACAUGUGUUAAUUGGCUGCCGGAGUAUAUCGCGAGAAGUCUUGACUCAGUUUCGCGUGUGUCAACCACGCCGGGUCAAUUCGAUCUCGUGAGAGCCAUUUAUAUAGAUAAAUCACUGUACACAUGUAUUGGUUAUUGGCAAAUUGCCAACAAUUGGCGCCCAGCAGCCCCCACCGCAGCACCGCUACGCGGCAUGAAUUAGUGUCUGCGAUCCGCAAGCCCUUCCUCACAACGCCCAGUAGUUCCUUAGCGUGACCUUGCACACUUUGCCUUUCACCAUCUACAAUCCGGACUACCGCAAACUUUGCAAAACCGGGUACCAUCCGAGUGGGCUACGCGCAAACGCGCCUUGCAUACGCGCCAUUUAUGACAAGGCAGACGCAAACGCAUUCAAAUUCGAAUACCUAAUCACAUACAGCGAUGGCAACUUAGCUGGUAGCAGUUGCCGGUGUGGGCGCUGCAGCUGACUGAGCGGCCGUCGGAGCGGGUUUGCACACUGGCUUGUGUUGGGGCCAGUGCGCCAGCUGGCAUGCCCGGGAGCAGUACCGCACCGUCCGGCAUUUGCCACAGUGCUGGAAUGGCGGGUUCCCGGCCGGCGGCGCGGUGCCGCACGAGGCGCAGUUGCUGCCGCCGCUUGCCGCGGCCCCCGUCCCUGCCCCUGGCCCGCCGUAGGGGUGCGGCGGCGCAACCGGCGGGAAUGACUGUUGCUGCGCCUGCUGCUGCUGCUGCUGCGCCUGCUGCCGCUGCUGCGGCGACAUCUUGGCCUGUUCCGCCAUGCGCACCAGGUGCAGCACCGAGUGGCCCCUGCGGAGAUGCAAUUGCAGUCACGGCGGUCAAGAGCCGUCACGAAAUGGGCGCAAUGAGUCGUGACAAGAGAAAUAUGCUGGACCCGCGUCUGGCCCCAGGCCAUACUGUGCUCAUUUCAAACGAGACCCAAGGCGGCCCUCCUACCAGUUGAUGAUUUCCUGAAUCUGUCCCUUGAGCCAGGACUGGGCAAUACGCGCGUCCACGCCCUCAGCCACCUGCGCAUGAGGGCACAGCGAGCCCCAAACACGGUAAUGCAGGAUGCCUGGUAAGGUCCACGCGUCGCUCGAUGCCAAGGGCCUGCCGCCACGCAGACCCCAUAAUCCCCAUCCAAGGCGUCCUUCCCAUCCCACCCGGGCGGCCGGGCCCACCUGCAUUCCGGGCAGGUCGCGCGCCGCCUGCUCGCCCGUGAAGCGCACGCCCCAGUCCUCCAGCUGCACGCCCAGCGCCGGCGCCACCGUCUCCACGUGCCCCGCGAAGGCGCGGAAGAAGUUGGCGUAGUCGCCUGGGUAGGGCGAGGUGAAGGCGCGGCCCGACGCGGAGGCGGCGGGGUCGGCCACGGCGGCACGCAGCACGCGCAUCGUGUCCACGUAGCCCUCUGCACGAGCGGUCGGAGGAGACGAGGUGGUUGGGGGUGAGCGUUGCGUUGGUUUGGAAGGAGGGUUCGGUGGGCAGCCAUGAUUGCCGCGCUUGCAGGUCAGCCAAGUCGUGCACGCAAACUACUAGGUCCCAUUCCCACCAUGCGAGAGCCCCUAUGGUCCCUGACACAGCCGCGCGCCCGCCCGUUUGCGCACCAGUGAACAUGCCAAACGCGUGCCGGAUGACGAAGCCGCACGCCUCCACCACGUCUUCCUCGCUGCUGCCCAUCACUACCGUGGGCAGCCCCAGCAGGAUGAGCAGGUUGCGCACCGCCCCCUCGGCCUGGUCCAGCAGCCGCCGCCGCGACACCGUGCUGGGCCGCAGGUCCGCGUACGGCCCCAGCGCCUGCAGCCUCUCCUGCUCCUUCUCCUGCUGCUCCUUCUCCGCGCCCUCACCAGCACUGCUGCUGUCCUCCAUCCGGUGGCGAAGCUCUGCCAACCCAUCCGCCAGGCCCUCUAGCACCGGCCGCAGCAGCCCCAGCGUGCCCGGCCGCAGCAGCCAGGCACGCUGCGGCGCCAGCCCCGCCGCGCUGAGCUCAAAGCCGCGCGUGCCCAGCCCCGCCAGGUUGGCCACCAACGAGGUCGCCUGCGCCGCCAGCGCCAGUCGCUCCUCGAACAAGUCAUCUGGGCCGCUGCCGCUAGUGGUGUUAGAGGGAGAGGCCGCGGCCUUGCCCUCGCCGGACUCAAGCGCCGCCAUGGCGGACACCAGAGCCGCAGCGGCGGCGGCUUCGCCUCCCGCGACCGCCUCCGAAGCGCCUGCGGCGGCGGCGGGGCUGCCGGUGGCGGCCACGGUGGCGAUGACCAGCAGGCGGGCGGCCAGGUCAAUACGCUGCAGCAGCUCGCGGAAGCCCUUGCAGUGGGGCGUGGGGUGGCUGCGCGCAGGGGAACGGCAGGGCAAGCGGAGGAAAGGAGCCGAGUGAGGCGGGGUAGCAGGCAGGCCAGGGGACGGACAGAUGAUAUGGUGACAUGACUCAGCGUUGCAAUCAUCUGCAACCUUAUCGUCGUAGUCCGCCGCCCCCCCCCCCGCCGCAGCAAGGCGACCCUGCCUGCUCCUAGGGCCCCAUCCAUGGCGCACGAUGAGCCCGCCCAAACUCACCGCGUCAGCUCCCAGCACAUCUGCACGCAGCGCGCCGCCGUGCCCAGGCCGCCGGGAGUGAGCAGCGUCGCGGGCGUGACGGCCAGAUAGAUGACCUGGCUGAUGACCAGCUCACACAGCUCGGGCCGGGACGCCACGGCCUCCAGAUUGUCGCCCGCGGCGUGGCCGGCCAGCAGCGUAAUGCUGCACAGCAGCAGCACCGCGGCCUGUGCGGUGGGGUCGUCCAUCUUGCCCACCCUGCGGAGAAUUCGGCGGUGGGGUGGGUUGGGGGCAUGGGUGGCCGCAUGCUUAUGAGGCGCGGUGUUGUGAAGUCGUGGCUGCAGUGAUGGCUCAACUCGCUAGUGCGCCCCUCCGCGACAAGGCUGCAGCAAUUGCACAGCCUCGCCGCCUGGACUGUCCCGCCGCACCCACCGCUGGUGCAGGCGCACAAGGGUGUUGAGGAAAGAGUGCUCCACGAGGCACCAGGCGAAGCGCGGCGUGGUGGCCGUCAGCACAUCGUUCAGCGCAACCUGCAGGCACGCAGAUGAAUCCCUCGCAAACGGUCCCAAGACCGAUGUUCCCACGCGGUAUUCCCGCGCGGUAAUCCCCUCUGGUCCCAUCGCUCGACAUAUGUCAGGGUUCUCAGCAAGAAGCUAUGCAGUCGUACGCGCCCUGCCCAGUCUUCACGGCCUUGACAGCUAGCACACACUUAGCAACCCCCUUGAAACCGGAUUAUCGUUGCACGGAACAGUGCCAGGGCUUGCACAGAAUCAAAUCCAACAUCCCAUUCUGUCCAGCACAUGCGCACCCAUGACACCGGCGCCAUGGAGCUGCAUGUGAGUACAGGCGCGCGCGCACUCCUCUGGCUGCCUGCACCCACGCCGCUGCACACCGCCGUCAAAUGACUGCCACCAAACUUCCACAUCGCCGCAUGUCCUCUGCACGCCCCCCUGCCACGCGUACACCUGUCUGUCUGUCUGUACGACUCGCACAUCGCACUCCGCACCGCGCUGCUGGCCCUUGCCCAUGUGUGCCCCUCGCCCCAUGCAUGGGCCCCCGCAGCCUGGCCACAGCACAGCACCCAACCCACCAGCGUGCGGUAAGACUCUGGCUUGCUCGCGUCCAGUGAAGGAAUUGUGGUGUUCAGGUAGGCAAUGUUGAGAGCCGCAUACACCUUUUGGCUGCUGUUCGGCGUGGAGAGCAGCGCAUCCAGGUUUGCGUCCACCGACGAGAUCACCGGUUUGGCUAGCUCAAUGCGCUCAGCAAUUGUCAGCGAUUCCGUAGAAGCUUGAGACGCAGUGAAGUACCCCUUCCAGUUCACCGGGUUUGGUGAUCCCAUUGUGGAGUAUUUGUCAGUUCUGCGGGCGGUCUGUCCUGCUAUUCAGAAUACUCUGUAUUUAAAGAUGCACCUGUGGUUUACGUAAAGAAGUUCUUCAGGGAGCGCUACGAUUUAGUGAAUCAUUGACGCUUUCGUCACAGUCAUCCGCAUCCAAUUCAGCCAACCAAAUCGGUGGCCUGGAUUAAAUGCAGCAUACAUUAAAUUGAUUUGGCUAAGCCCGCGGCUGGGGGGCGGGACCCCCGGGUCGAGGGAAGGCUGCAGUCGCGCGGCGAGGAGGGCCAUCGGCUGUGCAGCUGACCUAUUUCGCAGGUAUACUUAUGCGUAUGUCAAUAGAGGCAUCGGUUGCACAAAGGGCCGAAGUGUGCGGCCGAGCCCCCGCCAAAACAAAUUCUCUUUUCAGCGCUCUGCCACCGCUGUCGUUGAUAAGUCCUUGGUUAUUUUGCAAGGCCUUGCGUUGUAAUCUUGAAGGGCGCGCCUGGUGCUCGGCGGGAAAAAAUUCUCUACCUCAUCGCGGCCCAUCGCAGAGCCCGGAGUUCAAGCAAGGGUCAGCGCGCCUGCCUCCCCCUUUUCCGAGGCCUGCUUAAGCGGCCUCUUCAGCUUUCAAAACAGCUCCUUAACCGUUUUCUUUUUCGCGGGCCUGAGGCCCUGUUCGGUGAGACUAGCACGUUCAAGCGCGCAUCCGCGCCGUCCUUGACGCCAUCGGCUCCCCCCGCAGAAGCACAACCAGCAAACAUGGCUGCCGCGCCGGUUGAGCGCACCGGUUUCGAUGACCGCGCCUUCGACACGAAGAUGCAGCAGUUGUGAGUGGCCGCCGCCCUUGCGGGUCUAGAGGGCACUAAUUUCGCGGGCCGCCGCAGCCGGGCCAGACGCGCUAACGCCCCUGCUCGUGCCGUAUCGCAGCCUGGGCAACAACGAGGACAAGUUCUACACCGACUGGGAGGAGAGCUUUGAGAGCUUCGACCAGAUGAACCUGCACGAGAACCUGCUGCGCGGCAUUUACGCGUACGGUGAGUAGAUACUGCUUUAUUAUGCUGAAGAUCAUGGUUGCUAGCUUUUGGAAGCACUGGCGCGGUCUGGGCCGGGCCAUCGGCGUGGCGCCCUUCCUCGGUGUUGCGGGCCAAGCAGAGGAGCUCGCUGCGCUGGUCGGUUCAAACUCCGGCAGAUCAUUUAGCAGUAUUCAACAGCAGUCGCGGGUUUGGCCUCUUGCGCGGGAGGUGCCUACCUGUUGCUCAGGCCGAUGGAGCUGCCGACAGGGUCGGGGCCAAUCAGCAGCUGCUACCAGGCUUCAAGCGGCAGCAGCCAUGUUAUGGCUGCGGCUGCACUGGGUGGUCGCAGCAGCGGGGCGAGAGCGUCCGCGUGGUAGCUGAAAGGUCACUGGCGCAGUUUGAAUCCUCGGAGUGGCCACGGCGCAACCACUGGACUUCGGCGUGCGAACCGCUCAGCGGCCAGACUUGCUAGCCUGCAAGCCCGGGAUAUGCGCAGUCCAGCACGUGCUAUACCUCCAGCAUGUGCGGUCAAGCCGGGCACGGAGCACAGCGGGGACGGCGUGGCAGGGGCUGUGGGGCCCGGCAAAGCGGCCAGCUCCGUGUGGGCGGCUGGACUGCUGGCGCGCUCGCAGACGGCAGUCCAGCUCUCACCCCCUGUAUGCGGGCCACAUUCCGGACUGGAGGCUGGCACUGACCAUGUUGCGGCCUUGUAGCCUCGUAGCACCUACUUGCCUGCGACUCCCUUGCCCCGCGACUGACCUAGGUCUGCUGCCCGAUGUGCGCCAUGCCCCUGUUGCGAUGACCAGGUUUCGAGAAGCCCUCGGCCAUUCAGUCGAAGGGUAUCGUGCCGUUCACCAAGGGCCUGGACGUGAUUCAGCAGGCCCAGUCGGGCACGGGCAAGACCGCCACCUUCUGCGCCGGCAUCCUGAACAACAUCGAUUACAACUCGAACGAGUGCCAGGCGCUGGUGCUGGCUCCCACCCGUGAGCUGGCGCAGCAGAUUGAGAAGGUCAUGCGCGCCCUGGGCGACUUCCUGCAGGUGCGUGGAAGGACUGGGAGGAACGGUGGGAAAGAGGGCGUGCAGUCUGCCGGCGCCGUGCACAGGUUGCAGCGCUGGGGACUUUGGCAACAUAAGCGCAGAAUCGGAAGGGAUUGCGCAGCGACCUGCAACGGAAUUUUCACGUCUUUUGCCCACCCUCUUCUUGGUAUACAGGUUAAGUGCCACGCCUGCGUGGGUGGCACCAGCGUGCGUGAGGACGCCCGCAUCCUGGGCGCCGGCGUGCAGGUCGUGGUCGGUACCCCCGGCCGUGUCUUCGACAUGCUGCGCCGCCGCUACCUGCGCGCGGACUCCAUCAAGAUGUUCACCCUGGACGAGGCCGAUGAGAUGCUGUCUCGCGGUUUCAAGGACCAGAUCUACGACAUCUUCCAGCUGCUGCCCCCCAAGCUGCAGGUGAGCCGGCUGCCAGCAUUGCAUGGGCUUGGUCUGUCGCUUGCAAUUGCUUGUAGAAAUCUGCGCGGUCGACGUGGGAUUGGAAGGCGGCGUGAUUGAACUGCACCAGAUGGCAAAGACGCUGAGCAGCAAGGACGCGGCGGAAUCAGCAGCUGUGGCGCGAGCGGCCGGGAGCGUCGUGGAGCAGUGGGUUGCCAGCGUGGUGGAUGAUCACACGCGCCAAACGUCCUGAUGAAUGGCAUGGUAUCCACGAGUGGGGAAAAGACAUGUACUGGCGCUCUGACAUGCCUGCUUAUCUGCCGUGUGCAGGUCGGUGUGUUCUCCGCCACCCUGCCCCCUGAGGCGCUGGAGAUUACCCGCAAGUUCAUGAACAAGCCCGUAAGUUGGUUGCCCGUGGAGGUGGGCGGAAAGGCAGUGGGGAUUUGAGAAUGCCAGAUCGGUUUGGGGUUCGAAGUUAUUGAGCCUGUGAGCUGGAUGAGUGCCGCGCUUACUGGCUCCCAAUUCUCGUCAAACGCCUCUGUAGGUGCGCAUUCUGGUGAAGCGCGAUGAGCUGACCCUGGAGGGUAUCAAGCAGUUCUACGUGAACGUGGACAAGGAGGAGUGGAAGCUGGACACGCUGUGCGACCUGUACGAGACGCUGGCCAUCACCCAGUCCGUCAUCUUCGCCAACACCCGCCGCAAGGUGUGGGCGGGGACGCGCGGGGGGGGGGGGCGCCUGGGGAUGCGCGAUGGGGACCAACCAGCUUCAUUUGGCACAGCCGGCAAACUUCUGAGGGCAGGGCGGCCCGGCUAACGUGUUUGUGGGAACGGUUGCCUAGCACCCUGUUGUGUUGCUAACGAAUUAUGCCCAUGCUGCCGAUGCAAUCCGCAGGUGGACUGGCUGACGGACAAGAUGCGCGAGCGCGACCACACCGUGUCCGCCACCCACGGCGACAUGGACCAGAACACGCGCGAUGUGAUCAUGCGCGAGUUCCGCUCCGGCUCGUCGCGUGUGCUGAUCACCACCGACCUGCUGGCCCGCGGCAUUGACGUGCAGCAGGUGUCGCUGGUCAUCAACUACGACCUGCCCACCCAGCCCGAGAACUACCUGCACCGCAUUGGUCGCUCGGGCCGCUUCGGACGCAAGGGUGUUGCCAUCAACUUCGUGACCAAGGUAAGCGGCUGGGCAAGGAGGUCAAUGAAAGGCGAUGUUCGGAACUCUUGCUGGAGCCGAAUAUGGAUUGGGAAAGGGUGCUUGGCCGGCGCGUGUCAGCGCUGAAGCAUUGAUGACGCGAUGAUGAGAGUGGCAGUAAGGCGUGCUGCUGUGGAACGCGGGACCUGGCACCUGCUGACUCUCAACCAUAUCCUUGUGCCUUUGCAGGACGACGAGCGCAUGCUCCAGGACAUCCAGCGGUUCUACAACACCGUGAUUGAGGAGCUGCCCUCGAACGUCGCUGACCUCAUCUAAGCGCUCUACUACCACCAAAUGUGCGCUAGCCCCUGGGUCCAGCCGAUCCCAAGCACGGGGCGAAGCCUGCAGGAUGUGAAGGGCACGGGGCAGGGCGCGCCGCCACGCAGCCGCCCCGUGACCCGACAACGUGCUGUACGUGCUGCGCUGCGAGUCCUUUUGAACACGGGCCGUCGUUGCGGGUGGUAAACGUGAACCUGUGUUGAGGCGGGUCGGCGCAGCUUCGGUUGCAGCCAUUUGAGAGAGAAGGAAGUUUGCCGGUUUGCAAACGGCAGGAGUUUUGUCGCGACCGCCAUAUGUUUGACGCCUUUUGAGAGUGCCACACCGCUGCCCAACCUAUUCGUAUGACUGUAAGGACGCAAGUCUGCGAUUCUUCGGCACUUCUCUGGGAUAGGGACAGGGUGGCGGAAAAGUUGGGACCCAGCUGGGUGGGGUAAGCACAAGCCAGGUGUCGCAGCGGCUGCGCACAUGCCGGGCGGGGCAGGGGCCAGCACCUUCCCCCAUCGAAAGUGUUCAGACUCGCAGACCGGACAGCAGGGACAACUGGCCAAAGGAUCUCAGCCUCCAAGAGGACGAGGUUAUGGCCCCCUUCACCGUCAGCAAUUUCCGGGAUGGCUUGGCUGCAGCGUGGCAUACCCGUUGCAGGUUGGGGCUGUCCCCAAUCGCCAAUCCUCUGUGGUUCAGCAUGGCAGUAUUAAAAUCCCCAAUUUCGUAACAUUGCAUGUACAUUCCAAUAUCGUUAAUCGGAAGCAACGUCCAAGAAAGGCCAAAGUAGUUCGUUCCAUUAUUUUAGACUGUUCAACCCCGCCGUGGACGCAUAAUCGCACAGUGUUUUUCACGCUUAUUUGCACUGUUUUACAAAUGACUGACGGACCUGCUCUGCCUUGGGCUGCUGGCGAGAACGCCGAGGCUGUGGCACAACAAGAGGCCACUGACGAUGUAGCCCCUGCGCCUCGUUCAAUCCUCAGGAUGGAGGAGGCUGGGCUCACAGCAGGGGCCCGGCUGGAGGUGUGUAGCUGCAUUUUUGCACUUGGAAUGUCCCCGCCAGCUGCUCGACAGCCGUUCUCGCCUCGCCCCAAGCGGGCCCGCUCACGGCGACAUGCUGGCUGUCGUCGCAGGUCAAGUGGAAUGUAGAGCCGGACGAGGGCGAGGCCUACACGCGGGUAUGUGUGUCAGCUGCGAGCCCGGCAAGGCCCACCUGUCUGUGCGGUGCCCGACGCCCUUUCCCUUGUCGCUUCUGCAGUGGUGGGGAGCAACGCUGGUGGGACCCAGCACUGAGAAGCACCCUGAUCACCCUGACGCAUCAGUCUACGAGCUUGCGUGAGUUGGGGGCUGCGGCGGUGCCAAUCAACUGCAGUUAUUACGGCUUGCUGCCGAGGACGGUUCGUGCACAGCACAAGCGUAAAACGCCCCAUCCACACACGCAGAUACGACGCCCAUGAUGACUUCGACCAGGAAAAGAGCCAUGUCGUCUUGAUGGGAGAGCGUGAGUUGCUGCCGCUUCUCCUCAGGCAGCAUAAAGUUAGACAGCUGCACCGGGACUCUGAACUGAAUGUUCCCACCCCCAGCCAAGGUUCCCACAUUGCUUGUCUGUCCUGCAGACUCCCUUCUACAACUGGACCAGACCGAGGAGCUGACAUGGCGCCGCGAGGGUGACGAGUGGGACGAGGUUCCUGAGGUGAGCGGCGCAGCUUCCACAUGCGCUUGAGACCGUCUCAUCUCUUCAGGGUUUGGUGCAUUACAAACCGCGUGGGACCCGGCGCUGUCCACCCUGUUGCACGUCUACGACUGGGGGUUACGAGUACCAAAACCACAUUGCGCUGGACUGCACAACAAGCUAUGAUCCACUGCGACAGCGCGCACUCUACCUGACGUAUCAGAGCUAGGGUUGGCACGAUGCUGUGUAUAUAGAUAUCUAGUAUACCAUUGCAUAGCGCUACACCGAUAUGCUAUGUGACGGCCGCGUUAUCUAGUGCAUAUGGCCUUUCGUGCUGCCUGCAAAGCAUCGGCUGUACAGCAUAGAUAGUGUUGCACAGCUGGCCAGGCAUAUGUACAUGUGAGACACGGCGGUUGCCCGAUACAUUCUGCGGCCCAACCAGCGGUGCAUCCCGCCCUGAGCCCAACCUUAACCUGUGUACGUGUUGGGCCAUGCACUCAAGGGGUUAUGCCUCUGCUUAUAGGUCCGUAGAUUCCGUACGGUGAGGGCCAGGGCGCGGGCGGUCCGGUGGGUGGCAGCGAGAGUGCGGUGUUGCAGCGGUUGCUGCAGGCAGCAGCGCGGCCGCGGCGGCUGCAGCAGCAGCAGCAGGGUGGCCACUGAUGGGGGCAAUGCAUGGCAUUGGGGCGGCGCUUUGCAGCGGCGGCACCGGCGCAUACGGUCAGCAGCGGCACGGCGGCGGCAGAGGGUGGCAGGGCAACGCGCACGUAGCGUGCCGCGCCCACCCUCACAGCGGUGCGCCGGACCCUUGCCAUGCUGUCGGGCUGGCCUAUGUCAUUGCGUGCAAGCGGCAAACCCAAUAUUCAGGUCAUAUAGUGGCACCGCCGAGGAGGUGGGGGCCGGGGGCGCGGGGGGUGACUGGCGGCGCGGCAGGGCGGCCCACACGGGCUCUCGGCGACAGCCACAUGUUGGGGCGCCGUGCUUGUGCCCAAACUUCAAUACGGUACUUGUUUCACGUCCCGAAGUUACCAAGCCAACCAGCGUGCGCACCGUAUAUGGCAUGGCAUGCGGAUACUCGACUAGCAUCAUUAUGAAGAGGCUACAUAACACUAGAGGUUUUGGCUAUCUAGCCCUUCUUCCAACUCUAAUUUAAUCGCACUCUUUUGGCGCCAACGACGCUGCAGGAUGGUGACGAUGAGGAGGAGGUGGUGGACGGCGAGGCGGUGGUGACCAUGGAGGACCUGGCCGAAGAGGAGAAGUGAGUCGACGCGGGGUUUGUAGGGCAGUGCGAAGUAAGGAUUCAAACCGAUGGGGCGAAAUCUUCCGCACUCCUUCGGUCGCUGACGAUGCGUGUGCCGCGCCGACUCAUACGUGUUGGCAGCAUGCCGUUGCAAGGGUAAACCGCGGUGCGGCAAGAAUGCAGCAGCUUUGCAACUCCAGCCUGCUGCGGCACUCUUGCGCGCAUGGCCACUUUACACCCCUAGGCCACCAUCCCAUCUACGGCCCAACGCGCCACCUUCUCCCAGCCUACACUCCCAUUCCUGCGCUUGCCCAACUCCCACGCCUGGCCCGGCCUCAGGGAGCUGCUGGGCGGCAAGACGCUGGAGGAGGCGGAGAGCGAGGCGAUGAGCACCCUAGAGCCCGCCAAGCGCAUCGCGGUGGCGGCUGGCUUCCGUGACUUCGCCGACAACCUGGUGUGAGUAGCCGAGCCGGACUGAGACAUUGCGAGGGUGUGUAUGGUUUUGCCGUCGCAAGGCGGCCAGUCUUUCACCUUGACGCAUAGCAAUUAAGAGCGACCGCGGCUGGCCGACACCGCCGCUACCAGAACCGAACACCAGCAAAACGCUUCGCUGCUGUGCCCUGCCCCUACAUCGCUAGCCCCCACCCACCCUACAUAAUGUCCCCAGGGUCUGAGUCACUGGUUUGGUGCAGACGGACCCCACCCCAACCACCUCGCCCUUGCCCGCACAGGUCGUUCCUGCACGAUGUAGUGGGCAGUGCGCCCGAGUCAGACGGCGGGCCGCCCACCGUCACGGCGGAGCACGUGCAGGCAUUUGUGGAGCACAUGGCGAAGAAGCAGCGCACCCGGUGAAGCUGAGGUUCGUGCAUUGGCGCCUGUAGGCGGCUGCCCCCUGGCAGGCCCCAGUGCCCAUGUAAUGUUGAUUUGCACAUUGACGGCGGGGGCUGGGCGUGGCGCAGGAUGAGGAGGGGUCCCAACGUGGGCAGGGUGGCAGCCAUUCGGCUUCGGCAGGACUCAUGGACCGCCAUGGCGGACUAACAAACGUAUUACAGCCCUAAUAACAUGAGUUUCAUCAAGUCUGAUAACAUAGAUGGUUGUCCGUUGCUUGCAUUGAACACAUGGCAUGCAUACCGUACGGUAUGCUGCACUGAUUGCAGACCAGGUUGAGUUGAUGAGUGGCCGCACACACGAGAUGUGUUACGACUUCACGCAUCUAUUCGCAUGAAGAAUCGCUUAAGGCUGACCCAGGCAUUAAGACCGCUGUGAACGCAUGCACGCGCGUGGCCUUGCGCUUUGAUUACCGCUCAAGAAAUAGACGUCGGGUUUAACUUUCUCUGUAACAUGUGAUACAUGGCAGCGUACGUGAAUGCCGUAGAAUCGAGUACAUGCUGGCAGCGCGGCGCAGCGUCUAAUACUGUACGGGCGUUUCUCUUGGGACCUUCCUGCCUCUUUUGGGGUCCCCUCACUCCUCAGGCCUCAUUUGGCACUCGCACACCAACUUCACGAUGAUGACACAAAAUACGUAUCGGAGAAGGCAAGAGCACGACGUCGUUGAGGCUUGGGCGCUAACUGAUGGUCAAGGCGGGGGGACGGACACGUGCCAUGCGGGCCUGGAAGACUGCCUGAGCUCGCGACAACCCAACCGUGUCUGCGAGCGAGGCCGCGCUGGUGUUAUCCCCAGCCGUGCUGAUAUCAAUGGUUGCUUGCAUUAGGUGCUGAGUCACAUUGUAACCGUUGCGCCUCGGCCUGGUGCUUGCGGGGCAUCGACCCUUUGAUCUUCAUCAGUGUCGUCGGUUGGGCGCCUAUUAGCAAAUGCCGUCUGUGAUAUUAUCUUUAUUUAUCCCUUGACAUAGUUGUUGUGUCACUCUCGACUUUGUGACAGCUGGAGGCGCGAGACGCUGCAAGCGUGGCGCGCCGGUUUGGUAGCACCAAAUGGUGCCUCCCACAGAGACACAAAACGACGCGUAAUUGCCAGAUCGCUGCCUUAAGUGUUGCGCAAACUAAAAUUGAGAGCGAAACCUUUUCGCCCACGGGGGCUCCACGCGAGCUGAAAAAGCCGACCGCGACACCGUACGCGCGGCCUCGGGGCCUCUCUCAUGAUGGCAAACGUGAGCAUGGCGCGGCGAUGCGCAUCGCUGUGUUUAAUUAGCCCGCACGCCACAAUCUCAUUCUGGCACGACGUCCUUGGCCUCCGCAUCACCCUGUUGGUUCAUAUAUGGCUGGCAUUGCUGGAAGUUUCGGUGGAAGCUUGCUUCUUUCGAACCCUAACAGCCUUGAGCAAGGUCUUCUACAUAACGCGAUGACGCAUAACCCCGUAUCAGACUCGCUCAGCGAGCCUCUCCUGCAAGGAGGCGAGGAGCCCCAAUUGGGCCACACCGUCGUGCAGGUCUCAGCGACGGCGGCCACUUCGAACGGCACAGCGCAUCCAACUGGUACAAUCCAAAAAACACUUCAGCGCAAGGGCAGUGGCGACAGCGACGGUCGACAGGCUGAGUCGUUGAGCGUGUCGGUUCGGCGGUGUUCAACACUGCAAACCACUGCGGCACUGCUAACGCUCCAGCUGGGCUGGGGCCUGUGGCUACUUCCAUGCGACUUUGCACGGCUGGGCUGGGUGUUCGGCAUCGGUGAGUUGGUGGCGUGGAGAGUGGGGGGUGCGGGAGGCCUGGCGGCGGAGGCCGACAGGUGGUGCAGCACACGUGUGUGUAUGCGUGCUGAGCGCGUGUGAGCAACGGCCUGCGCUUCCCGCUCUUUUCGCGCCCCGCCCCACCCCUCCUUGCCCCUUUCUGACCGCUCAACGUUUCUCCUUGUUACCGCAGUUGUCCUGGCUCUGCUCGCCAUCGCGACCUCCUACUCGGGCUCCCUCUUCACGCGACUCUAUGGCGCGGUGCCGCAGGCUGGUGAGUCGACCUGCGCAACCCUUCCCUCCCUCUUUGUUUACAUGGCAUGCUUGGUCCCGCACCCUGGCUACUCCCAGUUUGCUUGACUAUGCCCUUGGACGUUGCGUCAAAGCGCCUGCCUCAAAAUGCCUGAAAGCCAACUGGCGUGUGCUUCUGUUGCGAACUGAUCCCGCCGUUUCUGUUUGCCAUCCACAGUCCUGUUUGGUGACGUCGGUGACGCCGCCGCCGGGCGUGUCGGCCGCAUCUCCGUCUACAUAACCAUCUACAGGUAAGAACUUCAUAGUUCAUACACGCGCGUCUGGCCUAGAACCUCCGCCUGUGUGCGAAAUGCUCCGUAUGACCUCUUCGAAACGGCUUUGUGCCAGGUUCCCAUGCACGCACGCCUCUCACACGACUGCGCAGUCCCACCUUCCUUGCAGAUGUUGUCCCACGCUCUCUUACUCCAAGCGCGUGCGUCCCACCAUGCUAACCCGCCCGCUUCUCCUGGCGCCCUUCCCCUCGCCUCGCAGCCUGGACGCCACGCGCUGCAUCAUCUUGCACCUGGCGGCCACACAGUCGCUCUUCCACGCCCUGUCGCCCUCGCUGCAGCAGGUGCUGCCGCUCUGGCAGUGCUCCGUAAUCGUUGCGGUGGUGGUGCUUCUACUUGGGCAGAUCCGGUGAGCCUGCUGAUCCCACUGCCUGCAUGCCAGCUUCUCUUGACCAGCAGCUCAAGCGCGCCAGCCAGCCCCACACCCUUGCCCCAAGCGCGUGCAAAGUGCAGCCACACCAUGUCGGAGCUAGUCACUCACACAUCCGCCCCACCCCCCUCCCGGACCCUGCUGCCCGCCCCUGCUGUGCACACGCACACACAUGCGCCCAGGUACUUGACGCAGCUGUCCUGGUUCUUCAUGACCGGCACUGCGGCGCAGCUGGUUGCCAUCGCCAUCGUGGUGUACGACAUGCUCCUCUAUCGCGGUGAGUCACGGGCCGGCAGCCUGCUACGUGGUGUUUUGCUUGGUUUGACUCUGCGUGCCCACUCUUGUGUGUUUGCGCGUGUUCAACGUGCCAGUGCUUCCGGGGUGGCCCGGCACAAUCCCCAUCUACAUCAAUGGUAGCACCUCUGCCAGCAGGUCCGACCCCACCCCUCUCAAUCCCUGCACAAACCCACUCUUCGCCCCCACGGCCACUUCCCCCUCGUUCGGCUUCAGGAUCCCCCGGCGAGGGCGGUGACGCCAGCGACGCCGCGCUGCACCUGGGCGCCACCCUUACCGCUGAGAGGCACCAGGAGCUCGUGUACGACAGCCCACUCUUCCCCUCGGAUGUGUCGACCAGCAACUGGACCCCCGCAGCCAUGGCCGUGCUCAACAUGAUUUUCGGUGAGUGCGGCGCGUAACUGACAGGGCUUUGAGCGGCGGUGCGGUGUCUUAUUUGGAGCUGCACUACCAGCAAGCCCUCGCCGGGCAACCGCUACCAUCGGAAGGACACAAACCCACUCACGCCAUCACCGUUGACCCGACUCCUACCCGGACCUGCCCAAUGCCCGCAGCAUACGGCGGCCAGUUCGCCUUCCUGGAGAUCAUGUCCAGCAUGCGCACGCCCAACAACUUCAGCAAGGCAGUCAUGAUGUGCACCGGCAUCAUGACCGCACUGUACGGCGGCUUCGGCGCCAUCGGGUAAGCACGCGUGCCGCCGCGCCCUGCUGCUGCCCUGUCUCAGCAGGAAGGUGUGGGGGCUCUGCGCAUAGAUGCAGAUACAAGCGCAUGUGCCUGCAUGGGCAGGUGUUUACGCCUGCUGGUGAUCUUAGAUUUGAUGCUUUGGGUGCUUAUGUGCGCUUGUUGGGUCCAUCCGUGGGAUCCAUCAGAGGCAGGCACCGGUCCUGACACGGGCACUGACGCGCUUUUGUCGUGUUACUUUGGUUUUACGCAGGUAUUGGAGCAAGGGCGCGAGUGUGCACGGCAUUGCCGUGUUCAGCAUGCGUGCCGGUGUGCUGGCACAGAUCGCUGCUGCCUUCAUCUUCUUCCAGGUAUGUGAAAGAGGACACUUCUUUUCGUAUUCGUGUUCCAACCCCCACGCGCCCGCAGAUGCACGCCCAUCUAGCUCGAGCAGGCCUCUCAGCUGUCAACCAUCCAAUGCCACGCCCACGUCAUCUUGCUUCUGCGCGCCCCCCACAGGCGCUGGCCCAGUACCUGGUCAACCUGAACGUGUGGACGCACAACCUGCUGGUGCUGUCGUCACGCCGCAGCAAGCGCCCCAGCAACAGCGGCGAGCUGUGGGACGAGGUGCGUUGUCAGUUCACCGGUCAGGGGUGGGGGAAGGCUGCGUUCGGGAGAUGAAGAUGGGCAGGGUUGUACUUGGCGGAAGGCAGGGAGAAGUGCCAUUCACGAUACACGAGGCUACCUUCACUGUGCCGCGGCUUUGCUGGAAGCCUUGCCUGACACGCGACCUGGCCGCCGGUCUACCUGUCCCCCUGCAGGACAACUCCCGCGCCGGCCACAUGAGCACUGGUGACCACUCGAGCGGCCACGUGAGUUCCCGCACCGCGGCUGGCUGCACAGUGCACCCACAUUCACACACUACACAUCAGGGCCGUCGCCUUGAAGCGCUCUUCAACAGCAAGUGGCAAGCUUACAAAUCGCACGAUCAAAAUGCCGACCUUGUCUCACGCACCCAAUCCUGUUUUCCCGCCCUGUACAGUGGCUGGCGGCGACUGCCUUCGUUGCGGCAUACUCGGCCGUGAUCGCGGUGGCGGUGCCCUUCUUCUGCACGCUAGGUGAGAGAACACGCGGUGCUGCUACGCGCAACAUACAUCUAGCUGCCAGCCAAUGGAUGCACCAGGGUGCGUGCUUAGGCCUGCAGUCGUACCUCUAGCGGUAUGAAUAGACAGUUCUAAUGAGCAGACCGGCAUUCGCCUCGUCCACCUCGCACCGUACCCUGCUCUGACACGCUCCCGCUCCCCCAAACUCUGCCGCCUGUCCUGCAGUCGGCCUGGUCACCUCGGUGACCUACCUCACCACCGCCUACACGCUGCCCGCGAUUUUCGCGCUCAAACUCUUCCCCAACAUGAACACCGUGGAGAAGUGGUGGCUGAAGGCGCUCAUUCCGAUCUCCAUCAUCCUGAGCUUGAUCGGAUUCGUGGCGUCCAUUAAGACGUACAUGAUCGAGGCCUCAGGCGGUGAGGGCAUGUAAGGGCACGGUCUAGGCAUACAUACGUAAGGGCGCGGCGUGCGUGCAUGGAAAUAAUGAUGGCCGGUUGGCCACUGAUGUGCUUCGGCGUCCUCCAAACGGAGAAUGCGGCCACGAUGCAUCUACGCCGCCCUAGAGAGUUUUGUGGAUGAAGCCGGCACUGCACUCUUCGAGUGCAAUACUGGGCCGUGCAUUUGGCAAGGCGGGGUCGCGAAGGGUAUGUGGUGAUGCUCUGCGCGCCCGUCCCGGGGUGUUGCGGCAUCGUGCUCGUUGUGCCGGCGCCAUCGCACGGAGGCCGCGACAGCGAAAAAAGCAGCUUGCAAAAGCGGGGUUGCCAAGUUUUAGGGUGGUCAUUUCUAUGCAUAUGCUGUCGGGGUGAAUUGUGUUGCGCGUGUUCGCAUACGGUGGGAUGAAGCCAUUGGGACGCGCAGCGCUGCCUGGGUUGGACAGCGGCGAGAUGGUUAUUGCGCAAUGCUGUCUUCGCUGCGUUUGGAGGGGAACAUGCAUUCUGAGGGCGUUGCAGGGACACAUGGAGGUGGGCCGCACGCAGGAAGACGUUUGUCAGGUACACGUGAGGAGGUGUGACUAAUGAACAACGGAUCAGGCAGGCGGCAUCGCUCCGUCAGACCCAAUGGAAAUACGAACGCGCUGCAACCUCGUCGAGGAGGUCGCAUUUGCGUUGGCGGUGAGGUAGGAACAGACGCGGUGCGUGAGCUCCAAGUUUUGCUGCGUGAUAAUGUUUCUGUUGCGCCCACUUUUGCAUGCAGUUGCUUGGGAGAAGGGUAGCGCUGGUUACGGUUGGGGUGUAGUGUAUGGCUGCCAUAUGUCGAUAGAGCGUGGGACUGUGGAAAGAGUACAACGUAAGUUCAGGCGGCAGGACCUGCGGUCUUCGGUGUGCUUGAGGCAAACCAUGAUCAAACCUGUCUACACGAAGUGGUUCCCUGUCUGGCGGCAGGAGGAAAACCCGUUUGCCACGGGUCUGGAACGCAGCAUGGGGACGCUGGCCGCCACGAGUGUUUGCGGAAGGGCCGAGGAGCGCCGGGAAUGGAGUGGCGUGGGAGGGGGAGAGGACGCCUGCCGUGUGCACAGAUUCAAAGCACCGUUAAGCGUUAUCAGGGGUGCAAGGUUCCGUGUGCACGGUCAGGGGUGAUGCUAGAGCAAGUCGCCAAACGCUAAACCCUAGUUAUUUCAUUCUUACUAUCGUGCUAUGUAGGAGGCGCUGUGUGAAUGCGCAUGGUAAGCCGGCGUUCCGCGCCACGGGCUCACCUGUUCCGCGACGAAAUGGGGCAUGUGGCAUUUGCUGCACUGCUGCGUCCCCUGUCCGUGGCUGCGUGUGCGUAAUGAACUGCAUCUUACGGGAAACUUCUUGUCCAGAAGCGAACUGUAAAGAUCUGGGUACCGUAUGUAUGAUCCACCUGCGUCUCAAAGAGUUCUCCGCGCAAGGAGCUCGUCAACGGCAUGCAGACGGCUGAUGGGAUGCACUCCUCGCUGCCUGCCACUACCGCCGGCGCGCUGUAGCCCCAAAGACCGCAGCCGUCACCCUUUCAAUGGAUGUCGUAGCAGGCCUAUCCUUGAACAGGAGCGCUGCAGGCCAGGCCGAAUGCCCAGUAAACACCCCAAGCAUUUGGCCUCACUUUGGAGCAAGCGAGAGGGCUGGACAGGGGUAUCCGUUGUGCGCACACGCCCGCGUCAAGUGAACCCACCACCACCAGCCGCUGGCCCGCAGGUCAAAGAUGGCUAUAAGGCCACGGUACCAUCCCGUCAGCGACCGUUCUGGAACCAGGUGUGCCAACUGCGAGCAACCGCGUGCAAAGGAUGCAGAACGUUUUCCUCAACGAGCACCGAACGCAGGCCUGAUUCGUUUGCUGAGUAGAGCAGGCAACCAAGAGGGUAAUUUUGGUGACGCUCAGGCUGCGUAUGGAUCGUCUUGUUGCAUUCCUGCAACCGACAACCGACGGCCUUGUGGCCUGGUGCGUUUCGCCGCUUCGCCCGCCACCCCCUCCCCCGGCCCUUGCCGCCCCCGCCCUCCUGCAUGCGCCCCCAAGGCAGGCCUGUUCUUGCUAGAUACUUUGAGCGCCGUCCAAGAUCACCAAAUAGCAAGGGCUAACUAGGUUCACACGCUAAGGGCGUUGCCAGCAAAUGCCAUGGCCCGGUGCACUGGCACGCGGCGGGAUAUCCUCAAUGUCUUGCGCCCUGGGACAGCCUGGCAUUGGGUGCACGCGCCCAUGGAGCCCUGGGGCCCGAGCAGCCGCGGCCACAGCUCCUCCUGCACCGGAGGGUGGGGCACUGCCACAGCCGCGCCAGGGUGCCCUUGUUGGCAACCAAGGUCGCGGCUUGCUGCUGCUGCCGGCGGUAGGUCUUCCCGCCAAAAGGGGCAGUGGGCCUGGCACGCUCGUCCGGUCCUCGUGGACGGAGGCGGACAGGCCGUGCCGCCGCCGCGCUGCCUAGCUAGGUGCGUGGACCUAGCCAUGCGGACAUACAGCUUCGGCAGCUUCAUUCGCCAGGCGGAUUGCGUGAGCGGUGGGCCGUGCAGCGGCCAACCAUUCUUGGCAUGGUUUUGAUGAGGACAGCCGCACUAAUAAUGGAUGGCGCAAAAGCACGCCAUGGACCUGCGCCCGCCAGUCUGCUCUAGACCGAGCGUGGGCCACAGCGGCGCGUUGAUGCACCAGUCUCCGCCUCUCCGGUGCUGGGUACCUCCUCCAGCUCCUGCAUCGGCGGCAGCGCUCCCAGUAGUCAAGGCCGUACCGUACAUCUGCACAGCUUCAGUAACUCAGUAAGCAGGUGGCCCCAGCAUGGUCCCGGCGGCGCCCGCCGGCUCUGGCACCACCACCUGGGCGCUCCUAUUUAGGGGCGGAAAGCUGGAUGGUGACUGCACAGCGAGGAAGGCGAUGUAGGCAGCGCACCCGGGCUGGGAUGCUGGGGGUGGGUGGUGGGAUCGCCUCGUAGAGUGGCAAGGCGUGUGACCCAUAUCACGUGUAUGCCGCGCGCGCGCAUGCUGCCUGGUGGCGGGGUGGCCAAUGCGCCGUGCCUCUGUCGCCGGAGUGGCCGUAGGUAUUGCAUUGGUUACAACAGGGGCCUGCUAACGGAGCUCAUCACGAGCGGAAUCUGCUCUAGACCGUAUAGGAGCGAGCACUGUGUUGGCUGGGGUCCUUUCAGGUGCUGCUCUGUGGAGCGUGGGGCGAGCCGGCGGUCUACACCUCGUGCUAAGAUUCAAAUCCUGGGCUACGUCCUCCAGCAGACCGCUGUGUCCUAUGCGCCACGUCACCAUAACGUGCAGCACCAUCCUCUCAGAUGAAAGCAGGUUGGCGAAGUAAGGACGCGGCACUGGCGAAGGGCCCUGGGGCCCAGGUCAGCGUCACGUAUGCCGUGGGCGCCGGAUGGGCUCCUGUCAGCGUGCUAGCAGUUCAGCUGCAGCUGUGUCGGGGUCGCCGCUGAACUGGAAGGACUGAUGUGCCCCCGCUCACGAUCGAAGGACGUCGGGGCGGGAGUAAAGGGAGGCGACGCAUGCGCGUAGGUUGACGCUUCUCAUGAAAUGGCACAGGUCAAGGCCAGUGAAGGGUAUUGCGACACAUCCGGUGUAAGCAACACCUUGAUACACUGUCAUGUUGGGGGUGCCCAGAAACGACGUGCCGGGUUGACACGGUACCGCGACGAAUGAAGGAUCGGUCAGGCCGACAGGCCCCUGCGCGUCCUUGCACAUCUGCGUACACUAAACUGGCAAAACCAUAUGCGCAUACAUACACCAACACCUUUCGGUAAUAUACCCUGGUACUUAAGGAGCUCGGCCUGAGCCUGGACCCAGGCCAAAAAUGUCGCGGUCGGUGCAGAGCUGAGCCGCGCCUUAAUAAGCUGAGUGUACCAGAUGUACGUAAGAUAAGCUUAAUUAUCUAGGGAAAGCUGGACAACUUUUGGGACAGCCCCAGCGUCGCUCAAAAUGUCUCGCGCCACCAGCACAAGUCGCUGGCGAUCGGCGCUUGAACGCUUUCCAUCGCACGUGGAAGAGGCUAAGGGGCCAGAUGGCAAGAUACAGAGGGGGUGGCAUCACCUGGAGCUCCGGGUGAGUUCAUCAUCUGGACUAAGGGUGGUUGGGGCAAGAAAAGUUGCGGGUCGGCGCAGUGGGUUACGCGCCUGCUGAUCGUGCUUUCUGGUGUGGAUCAUUAUUAUUUAACUAUCAAGCUAUGUGAAGCGCGCGGCCGCUUCAAGUACUAAACCGGUUGCGUGUUCAGCUACAGUAGUCCUGCCGUCCGAACUUGGCACACACUCAACCCCACAGAUCGCCGCGGAGCUCUUGCGCAUCGGGCCUUACCACAGUGCUGACGAUCACUGGGCACCUACGGACUGGCAGCUACUGCUGGUGGUGUCCGAGUACAUGUCUGCGCUGUUGGAGGUGCGUGGUGGCGUGCGUGGUGCGUGGGGGUGCGUGUCCGUAACCACGUAACCUGUGAACGACGCACGCGUGGAGCAAAACCACUGCAAACCCGUUGGAGCAUCUACGCUCCUUUACAUGCAGGUCACCGUGCGUGUUACUUGCAUCGCAAUAAGCAAGUCACUCUGCGGUGAUUCAGUGCCUGAUGCGCCUAUCUCCCCGUAACCAUACGUUGCUUUAUUACCUUCCCUCGCUACCUUCGUUUUCCCUUCCGCAGUUCCUGGACUGGUUUUGGCCCGAGAUGGGCUGGGAGCAGCAUAAGCAGGCCAUCGUGCUGUCCAAGCGCCUGCUGCAGCCGCGCAGCCCCAACACUUUCCCUAGCCUGCCCAUCGACCCGCAGCUGCACGCGGCGUGGCGCGCCUUCACCUACUGCUUCUGGCACGGCACGAGGCACAUGUCUUCGUCGGCCCCGGCCGGCAUGUCGCAAGCCCCCUACACUGCUGCGCGCGAGUGGCUGACCAAGCUGGUCGGAGAUAAGGGGCUUGAGAGCGACGGCCAGAUAGUCUCGUCCCUGCAGAACUGGCUGGAGGUGGGCACGGCGGCACAUGCACAAACGGAAAAUCAUGCUGAUGCAUGGGCAUGCAGCUUGCAAGAGAAGGUAUCCCAACACAAUGCGCUGCAGCCGCCAUCUAGCAAUACUGGCAGCAGUGCGCGUCCUUGCUCACCGGUAUCACACUUGAUUGGACGGCUUGAACAGGCAAUGGGGCCGCGGCUGCGCGACGCUUUCCCCAACGCGCCCAUCGACUGGGCCCAGUGGCCGGCGGUGACGUGGCCGGACGCGGAGUGCGGCUGCCGCUCGGUGGAGAAGCGUGGCGCGGUGAAGCGGCAGACGGAGGAGGAGUACGCGGUGCGCUGGCCGCUGCGCGUCACGCAGGGCCGGCCAAAGGUGCGUCAGCGGCGGACCAGCAGCAUGUGCGCACCUGGAUCGAUAAGGGGAAUGAACCGUGCAGUUGUACAGGCAGCAGCGCACUGCUCAUUUUAUUUGUAGCGUUUGUAUUGAAAGACAUAAUUGGCACCCUGCAUGCAAGCAAUGCUGUACGGAACACAUGCUGGCAGCAGCAGCACGCAUCUACCAGCGCACACUAUCUAGCGCACACUAGCGCACACUGGCGCAACUUGUCGAUAGUUCACACACGCAACCUGCGCGCACGUCAUUCGGUUGUUCCGCUGUCUCAGUUCAACCACGCCAAGGUGGAGGCACGUGACGGCUUCAGUGUGGGCAUCCCCUCCGUCAAGAACCCGCCCGCCCUUGGUUUCCUGGCGGUCAGCGACGUCAUGUGCGCCUUCAAGCAGGUGAGCAUACGUGCGUGCAUUCGCUGGAUGGAAGGUUCCGUGAAGAGUGCGCGCGCAUGCGUGUCCUCUGCUGCUGGCAGGGUGCGUGCAGAUAGAAUCAUUUUUUGCUGUGAUUGUAUGUGCAAGUAAAAAGGAUGAACGCGCGCGGGGAUUAUGAUGCGGUAUGUAACGUAUGGGGAUGGCGGGUUGUUGGUGCCCAUUACAAUUUUAACCCAGCUGCCGCUGCGGGGCAGACACCCAACAUAUACAUGUAUGGCAGGUAGGCCUCAUAAGCAGUUCGUGACAUUCAUUCUGACGGUCUAACCAAGUAUAACCAACACACUACUUUGAUAGCUCCUGCUGCACUACAUACCGGCAACGGAAGAGCAAAAAUUGCCAAAGCCUUACAUCUCUCAAUGCACGUGGUCCACGCAUACACAUCCUCACGCAUGGCGUCGCACGCCCUCCACCCUUGGAACAGUUUCUAAGACCCUGCUUCCCCACAUCCAGCUGACUUAACACAUUUCCCAUCCGUAACGGUUCUUCCGAGCACCCGCCUGGGGAUGCAAUAAUCCUGUCUGGUAUUGCCCCUGGUGUUCCGGGUAGUUUAAGGGAUUUCAGGAUUGCCCACGCACGCGCAUGCUUGAGUAAUUUUCUCCACACACCUGCUGACAUACACACGCACCUGCCCAUACAUUGCAUGCACAGGCAACGCAGCACUGGCCGUCCGCACCCCCCUCCACGCCGGCGCACGCGGCGCAGCAGGAGGUGGUGCACAGCUUCGUGACCAACGUGCUGCGCGAGACGCGCGGCCCCCUAGCGCCCGGCAUUGGUCAUGAGCAGUUCAAGUGAGUCUCAUCCACAGCGCUCGCUUCACGAUUCAUAAUGCAAGCGCUCUGCAACAGUGCAUACAAGCCGUACAGCACGUGCACACGUAUGCACAUGCUGCCGUGCGCUGUGUCAUUAUGAGUUACGACAAGCAUGCUUGUGUGCGUGUGUAUGUGUGCUGCUAAGCUGGGGACAAAGUAAGCGAGUCCUUGGCUUCUGGCAUCGCACUUGUAUGUGCCGUAUGUUGGAUGAACCUGUCCACCACAACUGCUCCGUAUUCUUCGUGCUUGCUUCACUGCAACAUACACGAAUGCAAGCAGCCCGCCCUCGCUGGUAGUAGCUAGUCCCCAGCCAUACAGCUAUCUGCUGCUGCUAUCUGCGUCGUACCAGUGCUCCUACCCGCCUGCUGUGCUCACCUGUGCCGCCCACAGGUACCUGGGCUACGUGGCCUGCUGUGUGCAGGGCUGGCAGAACGCGCUGCCGCACAUCGAGGCCCUGGUCCGCGCAUCAGCCUCCCUGGGGGCCAUGCCGAUGGUGUUCCCCGGCACAGCCGAGGCCAACGCAGCCGCCGCGGCGAUAGGCGCGCCCAUGACAAUGGGGCUGCUGAUGCCGCCGCCCUCCGCCGCCGGCCCAGGCGUGCAGCAGCAGCAGCAGCACGGCGGCGGCGGUGGCGGCCAGCCGCCGGCGGGGCAGAUGCUGCUCCACCAGUCCAGUGGGCUGAGCCAGCAUCAGCAUCAGCAGCUGCAGCAGGCAGCGGCAGCGGUCGCACAGCAGCAGCAGGGCGGCGCGAACGGAGGCGGUGGGGCAGGCGGUCUGUCUGCGUUUCUUAACACGGGCGGCCCCGUGAUCGGUGGCUUUCAGGAGCUCCUGGGACUGCAGAACGCCAACGGGUUGCAGCCGCUUUCGUUGCGACAGCAGCCGCAACACCAGCAGCAGCAACAACAACAACAACAGCAGCAGCAACAGCAGAACUUUCUGCAACAGCAGCAGCAGCAGCAGCAGCAGCUGUUCCAGCAGCUGAUGGCGCCUCAACAACAGCAGCAGCAAUACAGUAAUUCACUGCAGAUGGCCGCCGGCGGGCCACCGGUGAGCCGCACGCGCCCCAGCCCCUUCACUCGCAGCACGUCGGGGGCCAUGGGCAGCGGCGGCAGCCGCUCCGCCGGCACUGUGUCGCCCAGCGCCUCCCUGGACGAGCUGACGCAGUACCAACAGGCCUUCGCUGCGCAGCAGGCGCUGGCGCAGCAGCAACAGCAGCACCAGCAGCGCAUGCAGCACCAGCAGCAGCAAGGCCAGGGCGGUGGUGGCGGUGGAGGGCCGCAGCAGCUGCCGCCGCUGCCGCAGCUGCAGCCGCCGGGUAUGAAUGGGAAUUCGUACUUGGGUGGACAGUACGGACAGCAGUACGGUGUGCCGUACAGUGCGCCGCCAGCCACCGGCGGGGCGCAUGCGGGCGGCGGCUACAUGCCUUUCAUGAAGCCCCCGUCCCUCAGCGCCACCGGCCCGGCGGGCGCGGACUUCCCGGCCCAGCCGCCCUUCCCAGUCUUCCCGAUGCCGCCGCCGCUGCAGCAGUCAUCUCCCGACGUGUCGCCACAGCCCUGGGCCACUGUCACCUUUGAGCCGCUUGACCCGCAGGCCGUGCAGCAGCAGCAACAGCAGCAACAGCAAUUGCAACAGCAGCAACUGCAACUGGCUAAUACGCCACGGGUGAUCAUCACGCCGCUCAUCAACGGUGACAAGUCCCAGCAGCUGCCGGAGCAGACGACGCAGGGCCAGCAGCAGGGGCAGUCCGGACAGCAGGGCCAGUCAGCGCACACGAUUAGCAUGCUCAGCAACACCCUGAUUUCGGUGCAAGUGCACCCGCUUCCCCCUGCUGGCGGCCAGCAGCCGCCGCAACCACAGCUGCAAUCGCAGCAACCGCAGUCGCACUCACAGCAGCAGCCAGCGCAGCAGCAGGGCCCCGGCGGCGCAGCGGGCGCCGGCGGCGCAGCGGGCGGAGGCCCCCAGCACAUGGACGGCGGUGCGGCCCCCAUGAGCCUGGGCGGCCUCAGCUCCAUGCAAGACCUGCUGGAUGAGCUGCCAUCGCAGCCGGAUCAGUCCUGGUUCGCCUUCCUAGACACUCUGGCAGCCGGAGGCGCCGGCGCCGCCGGCGCUGCGAUGGGCGCUGCCGCCGCGGCGGCAGCGGGCGCCGAAGGCGCAGCAGCGGCAGCGGCAGCCGCUGCGACCGGCAGCGCAGCGCCUGCUGCUGCCGGCGGCGCUGCGGCAGCCGCCGAUGGCGUCUUGGCGCACCUAGCGCUGCCGUCCGGGCUGCCGCAGACGAUGGACUUCAGCAAGGUCCUGUCGCGAGCGGCACAGGGACGCGCCACCACGCCCUUCAUGCAGCCACCCGUGGUCACCAUCAUGCCUGCUGACGCAGCUGCAGCCGCGCGACUGCAGCAGGACCAACAGCUGCAGCAGCUGCAGGCGCAGGCCGCGUCGGCGGCCGCCGGCGGUGACAGCCCGAGCCCCUCCCUAGCCCCCGCUGCCGAUAUGGCCGGGGCCGUGCCGGCCCCCGCUGCCACGGCGGCCUUUGGCCUGCCACCUCCCCCGCUGCUCCUGAGCACUGGGUCCUCGGGCACGGCGGCGGCUGGGCAGCCAACCACCAUGGACGGGCGCCAGCUGCUGCCGCCGGAGUCCUCCCCGCUGCAGCAGCGCAGCUCCGGCGACGGCAAGGGCGAAGGCGUGUUUGACAUGGUCUCAGUCGAAGGCGGCAGCGGUGACGACGCAGCGGCGAUGGCUCUGACCGGCCUAGAUGGCGGUGUCCUGACCGGGAAUAGCGACGAGAGCGGCGGCCGCACCAUUGCCAUGACAAUGAGCGGCGGCGACGGGAGCGCUGGCGGUGGCGGCAGCGGUCGCGGCCGAAAUCGGAGCGCCAGCGGGGCCGCGGGCGAGGGCGACGGGGAGGGCGAGGGCUUCAGUGGAGGCAGCGGCUCCCUCCGUCGGGCCCUCGCUGUGGCGCGUGGUAGCGGUGGCGCAGCCACUGGGACUUCGGGCGGCACCGACGGCAGCAGCCCGGACUCGUCCACCAUUGGAAGCUCUCCGGUCACCGCGGAUGAGGCCAACCAGCAGGCGACCAAUGCGGCGGACGAGGCAGGCGGCGCGGAGGGUGCCGCCCAAGGAGACGCAGCAGCGCAACAGCAACAGCCACGGACAAUCCUGGCGCCCGCACUAGCGCGACCGUUCAUCUCGCAGGGCGCGCAUCCGCACGUGCAGCAGCAGCCGCUGGCAGGCCGGCGCACGCGGGAUGACGCCGCCGCGGCUGCGGCUGCGGAUGCUGCGGCAGCCGGGCUCGUGUCCGCCCCUGGAUCGAUGAACGAGCGCCGGAGGAAGCGCGCAAAUGCGCAGGUACGUUUUUAUGCCUACCGUACGUAAGUACGUGGCUAUGAACCGGUGGUGGGGCAUAACGGCUUCACCAUUGCGCCUUUGGUACCCGAUUUAGCGUGCUGCAGAGGCCGUCGCGUGCACAUAUCUCGACAGCACUUGCUUCUGCCCCCUGCCCCUCGCGUCAACUGGUAUGGCACGCACCUCUCACCCCCUACUCUUGGGUGGGGCGGCGAUUCCUUAACUGCUGGGACCUUUUCCUUUGAGCUCCGGCAAAUAACCCUCACCCCCCAUCACCACUGCCCUGCACGACUGCGCUCACCGCAGACGGACGUGGUGGUCUCCGUGGAGCGAGUGGAAUCACUGGACGUGCUAAUCGGCGCUGGCGGCGGCAACAUCAACGUCGGACUGAGCGCCAGCGUCGGCGGCGUGAUGCCCAGCGGCCGGCUGCUCAACACGCUGCUGCCGUCGGGCCUGACGCUGCCGCUGUCCUCGCCGGGGAUACAGGUCAGCGGCAGCGCCGGCGGCAGCGGCAACGGCAGCACUGAGGCGCGCGGCCCGGCGACCGACGUGUCUGCCUUCACGGCCGCCGCCGCAGCGGCGGUGGCGGCAGCGAAUCUGCCCACGGACGGCGGGCCGUAUGCACCCAAGCCUGAGCAGCUGAAGGUGCGGCUGGUGUCGCUGCUGCGGGAGGCGGAGCUGUUGGCGACACAGCUGGCGUCCCAGGACCCAGCGGGCACGCGGGCACUGGUGGUGGCGGCGCUGAAGGGAGGCAGCCUGAUUGGGAACUGGUGCUCUGCGCCGCCUUCGCAGCAGGGCUCGGGCGCAUCUGGUUGACCGGGCCACGGGCGCAGCAAAUGGCAGCAGCGGUAAUGGCGCCGCGCAGGAUAGGAGCACCCCUGCAGCACAUACAGCGGGAGAGGGGAUGGGCGAGUAAGGUGGCGGCGCGUCCAGACCGUGUGUGUACGUGCGCGUGUGUGAGUGGUGCAUGGCGCUGAGUAGAGACUACGGCAGCGGACGCGUGCAGUGCGGAUGCCACGGCGCUGGCGACGAUGGCAGCCGCGGCGGCUGUGCUGCGAGCCGGCAACUCCGAUGCGGAUGUGAUUGCGGCAGCGCGGGGCCUCAAUUAGGUCAGUGGUGCGAGAAGGCCGACGGAGGCAGCGGCAACGGCAUGGCGGUGGCCUCACGCUAGCUACGACGUACAUACAGGAUGUUGCGCAAUGUCCGCAGCUGCACUGUGUGCCUCGCUUGCAGCGGGGUAGCAUUUGGAAAGGGUAAGGCAUGCUGGAUAGUAUAACUGAGGUCUAAAACGCAACUAUGGGAUUGUAGGCCCUGAACGGCUCCAGAACCUGAAAUUGAGUGCCCACGGUGGAGCGUCUGCAGCGGGGCCCUAGGGCUUUCUGGUUGACGCUAUGCGAGGGUGUGCUGUCCUUGUGUGCUUUCCACGUGGGGGUCAGUUUGCGUGAAUGGAGUUGUCAUUGUCGUAGUAUUCAUAAGAAUCAUUGCCGUGCGGUUUGCGGGAGGUUUGCUCUCCCGUACUGCUGCGUGCCCUACUCCAGCGUGUAUGCAAUGCAGCGGAUGGUGGUCUAACGCAUGGCUGGACGUUUGGGGAAGAGGUUUCAUUCACGUCGUGCAUUGCGCAUUCCAGCCCGCAUGUACCGCCAUGGGAAUGUCGGGAUAGGUCUGAUCGUUGAUACGCCCGUUCGUGUCUUAAUUUGCUGACGUCAUUCGGAGAAGGUGUGUGUGGCUUUAUGUACAUUGUUGUGGCUACUUACAUCGGGAUAGAGGCUCGAAACCGCACAAGCUGGCGCUUGGCGCACCGCUAACCUUUGCCUCUGUAGGUUGGCAGCGGAUACGUAAUACGGGAAGAAACAUCUGAAGCACCGGUUGUGUUGCCAGCUGCGUGCGUGUAAUCGCGUCUUCCGACCUUUGGCCGGUCGGUGAAAGGGUCGGUCGGUCGGACAUUCGGCCGUAGACGGUGGGCGUGCAGAGCUAGCUGUUGCGUGCUGGCAUGCGGUGCCAUACGGCACGGUUUGACCUCUGAGUUGUGCAACCAUCCCCACCUGUUUCAACAGUGAGAAUCUAAAACAUGGGAGAUAGCGAACGAGAGUAUGUGACUUAACUUUGAAUCCAAGGCCGGGACAGACUGGGAUGUAUUGUGUGGUGUGAUUGGUACUGGACGUGCAUACGGUAGCGGAAUGCAUGGCUUUGCCCAGCCCGUCUACCAGCAUGAGUCCGCAUUCCGCAUCCAGACCUAAGCAGGAACACGCAUGGCAAGAAUGAUGGGUUUAUGGGACAAGGUGUACGUGCGCCAAAGCGCAGGCUGCGCGGAGCAGUUGCGCCUAAUAAUGCGUCGGUUCGGGUUCGCGUGGUUGUAUGGAUGUUUGUUUUCUCACUUGCCAUGCUUAUGCCAGAGACAUGCGGGUUUGUGCGCACAUACACAUGUUCGUGGAUCGUACUUCUAUGAAGUGUGUAAAUCCAACUGACCUUAUGGUUUCUGGCUGCCGAUGCUGGCUUGUUGCCAGUGCCUGGGGGGCCCAGGGUACGUACUGUGGGGCGUGGGCACACAGAUGCGCAGAUUGUUGGCGUGUCGUGGUCAAGUGUAAGCUUUGAUGAUGUUAACAUGCGACUGAGCUCUCACGUACCGAUAAUGCAGUUUGGCCGGGUGACGAUAAAGCCGGGGCUGGCUGCGCAAACGGGGCGCAGGAGCGCCGGGCACUGAGGGGCGCCAGGCAAUCGUGUCAUGUCGCUCUGACCAAAUGCUGGCUCAAAUCUUUUGUAUAGACUAAACUUCUACGUUAGAAACCUUGAGUGCUUCAAUGAGAAAACGCUGGGCCCCGAGGAGUAAGUGCUUCGCAACUGCGCGUGCAAGGGGCCUGACAGUGGGAGGCCAAGCAGAAUUUAUGAGCAGGCUACAGCGUACAGUACUUUGACUUGGCCUCAAGCGAGCCGCGCAACAACUUACUCCUCGGUGCAAACUUUUGACAAAGCUUGUCCCCUUGUUUCAAUGGCCAUCCUAAAGGACCAGGACCAAAGCACCAUGUCAGCGAAGUCUAGGUGGAAGUCGGAGAAGUUUCCGGCGCACGUUGAGGUAAGACUUCAGCCAUAACCUUCAGCCAUCGCGGCGACCGCUGACCGCGACGGCCGGCCGCCGGGCUUAAAUUAUCCGCGCAGGAGGCACGCAACAGCGAUGGAAACGUGCAUAAAGGAUUCAACCUUCUGGAGUUCAGGGUAAGUUGACGAGGCGUGCCCGGUCGCCAAACCGUGGUGGGCGAGCGGCACCCAGGUCCCCCCGCCCCCGCCGUUUGCCUCCUUGCCCCAUCAUGCUCGGGAGGACCUUGCUGGCCCCAUGGUUCAUACCUUUCUCGAAUAUAAAAUGUAACAAUGUGGCAGCGGUCUUACGUGUGAUGCCUUCCCUUGACCAGGUGGCCGCGGAGCUCCUGCGCAUCGGGCCGUACCACAGCACCGAGGAUUACUGGGCGCCCGUUGACUGGCAGUUGCUGCUGCUGGUUUCGGAGUACAUGUCUGCAUUGCUCGAGGUACUUACGGGUUGGGUCCCCAGUCCGAGCCUGCCGUGUAGGAGCAUCUUGGGUCGGCAGGGGCGCAACCCGACACUGCGACCACGCGAAAAGUUUUCGUCGCAUGUCAUUACUGCCGCUCGCUCGUGCUCCCAUUCCGCAGUUCCUGGACUGGUUCUGGCCCGAGAUGGGCUGGGAGCACCACAAGCAGGCCAUCGUGCUGUCCAAGCGCCUGCUGCAGCCGCGCAGCCCCAACACUUUCCCUAGCCUGCCCAUCGACCCGCAGCUGCACGCGGCGUGGCGCGCCUUCACCUACUGCUUCUGGCACGGCACGAGGCACCUGGCCGCGGUGACACCGGUAGGCGUGGCCACUGCCACCUACACCGCGGCUCGGGACUGGUUGAACAAGCUGGUGGGGGAGCGAGGCUUUGAGGAGGAGGGGCCGAUCACGUCCUCCCUUCUGAGCUGGACCGAGGUGCGGAGCGGCAGACAUGUUGGGCGUGUGGUGUUGAACGUUGGGAUGUGACGGAAGGGAGGGGCACACAUGAUGAGAGGUGCGCCCGGAGUACGCUACUUCCAUACUUGGUGGAUGGUGCCUGGGUCGGUGCCCUUGAGCAAGAAUGCGUGGGCUGUGUCGCGCGCAGUCGAUGGGGCCGCGGCUACAAGAGGCGUUUCCGAACACCAGCAUCGACUGGGCCCAGUGGCCGGCGGUGACGUGGCCGGACGCGGAGUGCGGCUGCCGCGCGGUGGAGAAGCGCGGCGCGGUGAAGCGGCAGACGGAGGAGGAGUACGCGGUGCGCUGGCCGCUGCGCGUCACGCAGGGCCGGCCAAAGGUGCGUCAGCGGCGGCCCGGAAUCUCAUUCCGCAGCCGCAUAACAGCGGGCCUCCGGGUUUCAUCAGUCGCAGCGUCACACCUGCGCCGUCCCGUUGGCGGCCGCCCCCCUUUUUAUCUUGCACCGAACCUCAGCACCAUGCAUGCCCUUCCCUUAAUCUUGCACCUAAUCUCCAUAUGCCCCUCCCCAGUUCAACCACGCCAAGGUGGAGGCGCGCGACGGGUUCGUGGUGGCCAUCCCCAGCAUGAAGAACCCGCCCGUGCUGAGCUUCCUGGCGGUGUCGGACGUCAUGACCUCCUUCAAGCAGGUGGGCUGGGCGGCAUGCGGGGUCGGGGGUGGUUAGCACGGGAUUGUGGGCUGUUGGGCGAACGGACGGAUAGGCUUGGUGGUAGUCAGUCCAAACUCCAAACUCGACCGACAUGGUCGGCUGCAUGGGUGUGGGCUGGGCUGCGAACGCAUAGCUCCGCUUGCUUUGGAGGCUCUUCAUGCGCUGCGCCAAGCUACCGUAAUGACAGCGCUCAGAGCAAGAGCCAAGCAUGGCAUACGGGUGUGCGGUGACGUAUUUAGGGCCAAGGACGCUGCACUUCAUUUGCAUGGAAUUUGUGUGCAUUCUCGCCACAGGCGGCGGCGCGCUGGCCGUCCACCACCGCGGACAGCCCCAGCCAGGCGCUGCAGCAGGAGAUGGCGCAGAGCUUCGUGCAGAACGUGCUGCGGGCGACACGGGGUCCGCUGGCGCCCGGCAUCGUGCACGAGCCGUACAAGUGAGCGAGGGACGCUUGGGCGCAGGCAGGGGUUGGCGCUUGGGCGCAUGCAAGGGGCUGGCAAGCCGGCAAACGCGGGCGUGCUUGCAACUGCGUCGCAACAGCACAUGGAAUUAGGCCCGGCGGUUGCGGCAUGGUGACUCCUCCUGGCCGUCCCCGCCGCUCAUUCUUGCAGGUACCUGGGCUACGUGGCCUGCUGCGUGCAGGGCUGGGAAACCGCACUGCCGCACAUCAUGUCCAUCGUGCGCGAAACGGGCGCGUGGGGGUCGCAGCCGCUACUGCUGCCCGGCGCGCCGCUGCAGACUGCCGCAGGGCUCUCGCAGCUGCUGACAGUGGCUGCCGCCGCACCGCCGCACCAUGCAUUCCUGCAGCCGCACGCGCAGCUAGGCCAGCCGGGGGCAGGAGUAGCGUACGGCGGCGGCCUGGGCGGUAUGGGGCCGGGCGGCGGCGUAGGUGGGCUGGGGCUGGGCAUGGCGGUGGGCGGGGCGCCGGAAGGCGGCCUGAGCCUGGGCAUCGCCGAGCACCUCGCCAUGCUGCAGCAGCAACACCACCACAUGCAGCAGAUGCAGCAGCAGCAACACAUGCAGCAAAUGCACCAGCUGCAGCAGCAGCAGCAAAUGCAGCAGAUGCAGCAGCAGCAGCAACAAAUGCAGCAGAUGCAGCAAAAUGCGGUGAUGGGCGGCGGGGCGAUGCACGAGUUGGGGGCGCCGGGCAUGUACGGUGGCUUUAUGCAGCCACAGCAGCAGCAGCCACUGCAGGCGCCGCAGUUGCAGCAGGUGCCGCAGAUGCAGCAGGCGCAGCCGCAGCAGGCUAUGACCGGCGCUGACCAGGCCCAGUUUGCUGCACCGAUCCCGGUGGUCACAGUGCACGCGCUGCCGAGCAGCGAUGCAGGGCCGACGAGCCAGGCGGCGACAGCAAACCAGGCGGGGCCGGUGUCUCAGGGCUCGGCGUCAAGCCCAGAGGGCAGCGCUGGCGACCCGCCCCAAGCCGCGGGGGGCGCGCGGGUAACGCGCACGCGCCCAAGCCCGUUCGCGGCGGCCGGCACGCGUAAGCCGGCCGCACCAACCUCGGCCGGCGCCGCGGCUGGUGGUGCCAGCGCAACCGCAGGCGCAGCCGCGGGCGGGCAGCUGGGGCCAAGGCAGGGCCAGGGCCAGGCGCAGCAGGGCGCUGGCGCCAUGGACGGCGGCGCGGCUCCCAUGAGCCUGGGCGGCCUGAGCUCCAUGCAGGAGCUGCUGGACGUGUUGCCCGAGCCCUCCAAUGUGGUGGACAUCAGCUGGAGCGCGUUGAUGGGCACCGGCACCAUGGGCAUGCUGGCCGGCACCGGCACCACCGCCAACCUCUUGCUGGAGUCGGGCGACAAGGCGGCGGAGCAGGCGGCGGCGGCAGGGCCAGGGGCGGCGGGCGGCGCUGCGGCGGGCGGCGCCGCGGGAGGGCCAGGGGCGGCCGCCGGUGCGGUUGCUGAUGGCCCCAAGGCGCAGCAGACCGCGGCGCCCAGCACAGGUGGCGUUCAAGCCCCGGCUGCUGUGCGGCCCGCCGGCCCCGCUUCAGCUUUCUCCGCUGCAGCUGGCGCCUGGGCUGCCGCGGGGCUGCAACCGGCAGCGGCUGGAGCUGCCGCGGCCGGCGCUGCCGCAGUGGGCCCUCCUACACUCUCUCCCAACCCGGCCUCGCCUGCGACGCAGCUGCAGCCCGGCUUCCUGCAGCCGGCCACCAUGCACACCGCUGGCGCGGCCGCGGCCGGCUCCGGGAUGGCCGGCCUGACCACCUUCAACAGCGCGAUGCCCCUGGGCGCGCGCCCCGGCGGUGAGGCCGGCCCCUCAGGCAUGGGAAACCUGGGCGGCUUCUCCUCCGUGCCGCUGUCGGCACCGGGGCGCGCUUUGGGCGGCCUCACGGGAGCACCUGACGCACCCGUGCACAUCCAGCCGCCCAGCAUCCGCGCGGGCUCGCCUUUCCAGGGCACCAUCACCACCGGCACGCUGCCUGGCGCCAGCACCGGCGGCCGGUCCGAUCCCGCCUCGCCGCCGCUUGAUUUUGGCGCGACGCUAGGCGGCCUGGGUGCGGGCCUUAGCACCAUGUCCUUUGGCAUCUCGGGGCCGUCUUUAAACGCGGCGCUGGCUGGCAUUGGCGGCGGUGGAGUCAUUGGCGGCGGCGUGGCGGCGGCGGACCCGCCGCUGCCGGCGCGCCUGAGCCAUGGCGAAGUGUUCACAAGCAUUGGGCCGCCAUCGCCAUCAGGAGCAGGAAGCGGGGGCGGGGGUCGAUGUCCAACCAGCCCGGGCGGCGGGGGCAGGAUCAGUGAGGGCGGGAAUGGCGGCGCUGCGGCCGGGAGCCCCAGCGGGACUGCAAGCGGCGCGGCGCCUGCGCAGCGCCGCGGCGCGACUUCUCCCUUUGGUCGGCGCUCAGGGGAUGGCGGCGCGGCUGCUCGUGCCGUGGCAACGGGUGGGCGGCGGACACGUGGGGACCUGGCGGCGGCGGCGGCCCAGGUGGCGGCUGAGACUGGGCUGGCGCCAGCGCCCGGUUCCAUUGCGGAGCCAGCGACCAAGCGGCCCAACUCGCAGGUGGGGCUUCAGCGGUCUGACACUGAGCGCGUUGGUGCCCUUGCUCCUCCGAACGGGUUCCUGCAUUGGCCUCUUGUCUUGAUGUGCCUGGCUAACCGCCUACCUGCUUGCCUGCUGCCAUUGCUUGCUCUCCUGCAGAACGACCUGGCUGCGCCGCUGCGGGCCGUGCAGCGGCUUGUGACGGCGGAGCGCGUGGAGUCGCUGGGCAUGUACCUGAACGAGGAGCACGUCACCCGCAGCCAGCACCCCAGCGUGCAACAGGGGCUGCCCGAGACGACGCAGGCGCCAGCAGCGGCGGCGGCGGCCGGAGCCGGUCCCGCAUCGACUCAGGGGAUCUUGAAGGUGGAAAUAAUUCCGGUGAACGACUCUGGGCCGGACCUGGGCGCGGCAGCGGCUGCAGCCUCGCCAGCCGGCGCGGCGCCGUCGCAGGAGGCCGGCGUGAAGCCGGUGAACGGCGAUCUGCAGGCGCGGCUGCAGCAACUGCUGCGCGAGGCCGCGGCGGUGGCGGAGCAGCUGGCGGAUCAGGACCAGCAAGCGGCGCGGUCACUGGUGACAGAGACGAUGCGCGAGUGCCCCACGUUGGGGGCGUUGUUAGGUGGCAGUGGUGUGGGGCCGAACGCAGAGCCGGGGCAGGGCGCGCACACGCAGUCACUUGGAACUGGCUCUGCGCCGGCGCAGUCUUAAAGUACUGGUUUUGUGAUGCAUUGCAUAAAGGUUUUGCGGAAGUGGUUUGUUCCCAGGCAGCUUUAUGGGCAGCACACACCGAAUACCUUCAUAACAAUAAACUGUUUAGGGCAACGUAUCAAAGCCCGUUACCGGUAUUGGCUCGUUCGGAGUUGGUUGCGCAAGUCUACCACUCUUGACGUAUCAGUGCAGUUGUUUUCUGAAUGGCGUACAUUGCCACGCUAUGAGUCGGAAGGGCCAAGUUAUCCACUUCUCCAGCAUUGAUCGCAGGGGAUGCUGGGAUAGGCCCCCUACUCCGUAGUCCUGCAUGGAGCGCAUGCAACGUGAAGCUGUUAACGUUGCAUACACCUGCGCAACCUG
RNAcentral lists this long non-coding RNA (36355 nucleotides) under Chlamydomonas reinhardtii. Its description in RNAcentral is "long non-coding RNA (CREI_LNC000570)". The record is from RNAcentral. Lineage: Eukaryota; Viridiplantae; Chlorophyta; Chlorophyceae; Chlamydomonadales; Chlamydomonadaceae.